ACGCACGCUGGCGGCGUGCUUCACCCCUGCCCGUCGCACGGUGAACGCGGGAGCUUUCUCCCUCCGGAUCAGUGGCGAACGGGUGAGUAACCCGUUAGCAAUCUUCCCCGAACUCUGGGAUAAGCGUUGGAAACGACGUCUAAUACCGGAUACGACGCGGGAGGGCAUCCUCUCCGCGUGGAAAGAAAUUCGGUUCGGGAUUAGCUCGCGGCCUAUCAGCUUGUUGGUGAGGUAACGGCUCACCAAGGCUACGACGGGUAGCCGGCAUGAGAGGGUGACCGGCGACAAUGGGACUGAGAGACGGACCAGACUGCAACGGGAGGCAGCAGUGGGGAAUAUUGCACAAUGGGCGCAAGCCUGAUGAAGAAACGCCGCGAGAGGGAAGACGGCCUUCGGGUUGUAAACCUAUUUUAGCAGGGAAGAAGCGAAAGUGACGGUACCUGAAGAAAAAGCACCGGCUAACUACGUG
Molecule: ribosomal RNA, 469 nt
Filed under: uncultured bacterium
Lineage: Bacteria
Description: partial 16S ribosomal RNA
Rfam family: Bacterial small subunit ribosomal RNA
Source: RNAcentral